This 120-nucleotide ribosomal RNA is filed under the name uncultured bacterium. Its description in RNAcentral is "partial 16S ribosomal RNA". It matches the Rfam family "Bacterial small subunit ribosomal RNA", at positions 796 to 915 of the family's 1533-position model. The record is from RNAcentral.
CACGCCGUAAACGAUGUCAACUAGUUGUUGGGUUCCUUGAGGACUUAGUAACGCAGCUAACGCAUUAAGUUGACCGCCUGGGGAGUACGGCCGCAAGGUUAAAACUCAAAUGAAUUGACG